UGCAGCUUAGUUUAUUUAGAACGGUCAACUUGCACUUUACAAGAGAGGUUUCUCAGCAGCGG
This 62-nucleotide transfer RNA is filed under the name Eisenia nana. RNAcentral describes it as "tRNA-Ala". Lineage: Eukaryota; Metazoa; Annelida; Clitellata; Crassiclitellata; Lumbricidae. The record is from RNAcentral.